GUGCGUUGCGCGUGCGACUUCCCUCCACGAUUGAUUUCCGUGGCUUUAGAGGACAGGACGUGUCUUGACUCCAAUGCCAAAAAAAGUUACAGAGGCCUCUACCUGGGAAUCAAGUUUGGGCUUAAUGGAAAGAACCAACCUCUUGUUUUUGAGUACCCUGCUGUGAUCACAUGAAGAAAAGGUGUUGCUUGCUAAAAUCAUCUAUGCUGAAAAGCAGUCUUAAUGUGCUAUGACUCAUCCCUCAUGUUAUAUAUUUCUUAAAAGGUUCAUUGAUAGUCACUGAUUGAAACAAUUUAACGGGGUGAAAGGAAAGAUGAUUGAGUAAUGACGCAAACAAGCCUAAAAUCCACAGGUUGUCCUAACAUUGAAGCUGAAACUCCAGUACUUUGGCCACCUCAUGCGAAGAGUUGAU
Cervus elaphus (red deer) is the source of this 412-nucleotide long non-coding RNA. RefSeq lists it as uncharacterized. The transcript has 3 exons. NCBI's taxonomy places the organism in Eukaryota, Metazoa, Chordata, Mammalia, Artiodactyla, Cervidae. The record is from RefSeq and is a predicted model, not a curated record.